Molecule: transfer RNA, 75 nt
Filed under: Ailuropoda melanoleuca (giant panda)
Lineage: Eukaryota; Metazoa; Chordata; Mammalia; Carnivora; Ursidae
Rfam family: tRNA
About the family: Transfer RNA (tRNA) molecules are approximately 80 nucleotides in length. Their secondary structure includes four short double-helical elements and three loops (D, anti-codon, and T loops).
Source: Rfam by way of RNAcentral
ACCUGGCUGGCUCAGUCAGUAGAGAGCAUGUGACUCUUGAUCUCACGGUUGUGGGUUUGGACCCCACUUUGGGUA